GUGUGAUAAUCGUGUCCAUAUUUCCAAGUUUUACUUCUAACCUCACCUUUUUUACUAAUCAAAAGCUUACAACCUCAAAUCUCAAAUCCCUCUUCAACAAUGGCCGUAAGCAUCAAUUUGGUCCUUUAUCAAUGUUACUCAGAGGGCACCCCAUCUUUCUCAUCAUUUUUUCUGAAAAAUUUAUAGGUCUUUUAUAUUUUAAGACGAUUGGAACCGAUACUACCUUAAAGGAGACUCGGGAAUAUGAAAUAGCUAUUUAAAGUUACUUCAUGUGAGUGUUUUGCUAUUUACCGGAUAUUGAGGCCAAUAACCGGAAAGUAAAUGUAUACACUGAAAAUCAUACUUUUCAAGAGACUAGAUGGAACCGUUAACGAGUUUGUGAUCUUAUUAAGGUGUACAAGGAUCAAUAUUUCCCCACUGAUUUGCUUUUUCUUUCAUCUA
Molecule: long non-coding RNA, 441 nt
Organism: Solanum stenotomum
Lineage: Eukaryota; Viridiplantae; Streptophyta; Magnoliopsida; Solanales; Solanaceae
Exons: 3
Source: RefSeq, a predicted model, not a curated record